AUUGAACGCUGGCGGCAUGCCUUACACAUGCAAGUCGAACGGUAACAGGUCUUCGGAUGCUGACGAGUGGCGAACGGGUGAGUAAUACAUCGGAACGUGCCCGAUCGUGGGGGAUAACGAGGCGAAAGCUUUGCUAAUACCGCAUACGAUCUACGGAUGAAAGCGGGGGAUCUUCGGACCUCGCGCGGACGGAGCGGCCGAUGGCAGAUUAGGUAGUUGGUGGGAUAAAAGCUUACCAAGCCGACGAUCUGUAGCUGGUCUGAGAGGAUGAUCAGCCACACUGGGACUGAGACACGGCCCAGACUCCUACGGGAGGCAGCAGUGGGGAAUUUUGGACAAUGGGCGAAAGCCUGAUCCAGCCAUGCCGCGUGCAGGAUGAAGGCCUUCGGGUUGUAAACUGCUUUUGUACGGAACGAAAAGCCUCUUUCUAGUAAAGAGGGGUCAUGACGGUACCGUAAGAAUAAGCACCGGCUAACUACGUG
This 482-nucleotide ribosomal RNA is filed under the name uncultured bacterium. RNAcentral describes it as "partial 16S ribosomal RNA". It matches the Rfam family "Bacterial small subunit ribosomal RNA", at positions 30 to 507 of the family's 1533-position model. The record is from RNAcentral.